This 441-nucleotide ribosomal RNA is filed under the name uncultured bacterium. RNAcentral's name for it is "bacterial SSU rRNA". It matches the Rfam family "Bacterial small subunit ribosomal RNA", at positions 29 to 472 of the family's 1533-position model. The record is from RNAcentral.
AUUGAACGCUGGCGGCAUGCCUAACACAUGCAAGUCGAACGGGGGCAGCAAUGCCCUAGUGGCGGACGGGUGAGGAAUACGUAGGAACCGGCCCACGAGUGGGGGACAACCUGGGGAAACCCAGGCUAAUACCGCAUACGCUCGCGAGAGGAAAGCGGGGGACCUUCGGGCCUCGCGCUGGUGGACGGGCCUACGUCCGAUUAGCUAGUUGGUGGGGUAAAAGCCUACCAAGGCGACGAUCGGUAGCUGGUCUGAGAGGAUGAUCAGCCACACUGGGACUGAGACACGGCCCAGACUCCUACGGGAGGCAGCAGUGGGGAAUAUUGGACAAUGGGCGCAAGCCUGAUCCAGCCAUGCCGCGUGAGUGAAGAAGGCCUCGGUUGUAAGGACUCUUUCGGUCCGGGAAGGAAAGUACGCAUGGGUCGAAUACCCUCGUGUGGA